This 443-nucleotide ribosomal RNA is filed under the name uncultured Leptolinea sp. RNAcentral's name for it is "bacterial SSU rRNA". It matches the Rfam family "Bacterial small subunit ribosomal RNA", at positions 925 to 1382 of the family's 1533-position model. Lineage: Bacteria; Bacillati; Chloroflexota; Anaerolineae; Anaerolineales; Anaerolineaceae. The record is from RNAcentral.
ACAAGCCGCGGAGCGUGUGGUUUAAUUCGAUGCUACACGAAGAACCUUACCAGGGUUUGACAUGCAAGUGGUAGGAAACCGAAAGGUGACCGACCCUUCGGGAGCUUGCACAGGUGCUGCAUGGCUGUCGUCAGCUCGUGUCGUGAGAUGUUCGGUUAAGUCCGCUAACGAGCGCAACCCUCGCUGUGUGUUAUAUGUGUCACACGGGACUGCCGGUCUUAAGCCGGAGGAAGGUGGGGAUGAUGUCAAGUCAGCAUGGCCUUUAUAUCCUGGGCUACACACACGCUACAAUGGCCAGCACAGUAGGUUGCUAAGCCGCGAGGUGGAGCCAAUCCAUAAAGCUGGUCUCAGUUCAGAUUGCAGGCUGCAACCCGCCUGCAUGAAGAUGGAGUUGCUAGUAACCGCAGGUCAGCUAUACUGCGGUGAAUACGUUCCCGGGGCUU